This 57-nucleotide transfer RNA is filed under the name Trachylepis perrotetii. Its description in RNAcentral is "partial tRNA-Tyr". The record is from RNAcentral. Lineage: Eukaryota; Metazoa; Chordata; Lepidosauria; Squamata; Scincidae.
CCGAGUAGGUGGCAGGUUGUAGCCCUGUGCAGGCGGGUACAGUCCCGUUCUUACCAA